Molecule: ribosomal RNA, 497 nt
Filed under: uncultured bacterium
Lineage: Bacteria
Description: partial 16S ribosomal RNA
Rfam family: Bacterial small subunit ribosomal RNA
Source: RNAcentral
GAUGAACGCUGGCGGCGUGCCUAAUACAUGCAAGUCGAGCGAACAGACGAGGAGCUUGCUCCUCUGACGUUAGCGGCGGACGGGUGAGUAACACGUGGAUAACCUACCUAUAAGACUGGGAUAACUUCGGGAAACCGGAGCUAAUACCGGAUAACAUGUUGAACCGCAUGGUUCAACAGUGAAAGACGGUCUUGCUGUCACUUAUAGAUGGAUCCGCGCCGCAUUAGCUAGUUGGUAAGGUAACGGCUUACCAAGGCAACGAUGCGUAGCCGACCUGAGAGGGUGAUCGGCCACACUGGAACUGCGACACGGUCCAGACUCCUACGGGAGGCAGCAGUAGGGAAUCUUCCGCAAUGGGCGAAAGCCUGACGGAGCAACGCCGCGUGAGUGAAGAAGGUCUUCGGAUCGUAAAACUCUGUUAUGAGGAAAGAACAAAUGUGUAAGUAACUAUGCACGUCUUAACGGUACCUAAUCAGAAAGCCACGGCUAACUACGUG